CUUCCGUAGGUGGAACCUGCGGAAGGAUCAUUACCGAGUGAGGAGCCCUUUGGGUCCAACCUCCCACCCGUGUUUAUUUACCUCGUUGCUUCGGCGGGCCCGCCUUAACUGGCCGCCGGGGGGCUCACGCCCCCGGGCCCGCGCCCGCCGAAGACACCCCCGAACUCUGCCUGAAGAUUGUCGUCUGAGUGAAAAUAUAAAUUAUUUAAAACUUUCAACAACGGAUCUCUUGGUUCCGGCAUCGAUGAAGAACGCAGCGAAAUGCGAUACGUAAUGUGAAUUGCAAAUUCAGUGAAUCAUCGAGUCUUUGAACGCACAUUGCGCCCCCUGGUAUUCCGGGGGGCAUGCCUGUCCGAGCGUCAUUGCUGCCCUCAAGCCCGGCUUGUGUGUUGGGCCCCGUCCUCCGAUUCCGGGGGACGGGCCCGAAAGGCAGCGGCGGCACCGCGUCCGGUCCUCGAGCGUAUGGGGCUUUGUCACCCGCUCUGUAGGCCCGGCCGGCGCUUGCCGAUCAACCCAAAUUUUUAUCCAGGUUGACCUCGGAUCAGGUAGGGAUACCCGCUGAACUUAAGCAUAUCAUUAAGCGGAGGAA
This 589-nucleotide ribosomal RNA is filed under the name Penicillium expansum. RNAcentral describes it as "eukaryotic LSU rRNA". The stretch from base 210 to 362 matches the Rfam family "5.8S ribosomal RNA". Lineage: Eukaryota; Fungi; Ascomycota; Eurotiomycetes; Eurotiales; Aspergillaceae. The record is from RNAcentral.